RNAcentral lists this non-coding RNA (73 nucleotides) under Grammatophora oceanica. The record is from RNAcentral. Lineage: Eukaryota; Bacillariophyta; Fragilariophyceae; Rhabdonematales; Grammatophoraceae.
AAACACCACAAAGGAACGUGCUUCUUGUUGUGUUCGUUUUUCUCUUUCUUUCUUUCUUUCUUUCUUCUCUUAC